UAGCUGCGCCACUAAGCCUAGAGGCCCCACAGCUAAUAUACAUCGUUUACGGGAUGGACAACCAGGGUAUCUAAUCCUGUUUGCCCCCCCUGCUUUCCCACCUCAGCGUCAGUAUUAGGCCAGAUGGCUGCCUUCCCCAUCGGUAUUCCUCCAAAUUACUACGCAUUUCACCGCUACACCUGGAAUUCUACCCUCCUCUCCCAUAAUCUAACUUACCAGUAUCGAAUGCCAUUCCGAAGUUAAGCUCGGGGAUUUCACAUUCGAAUUAAAUAGCCCCCUACCCGCGUUUUACCCCCAGAAAAUCCAAAAAACGGUUGCCCCCUCUGUAUUACCGCGGCUGGUGGGAAAGAAUUAGCCGGUGCUUAUUCUGCGAGGAACGUCCACUAUCCCAGAGUAUUAAUCUCGGCAGCCUCCUCCUCGCUUAAAGUGCUUUACAACCAAAAGGCCUUCUUCACACACGCGGGAUGGCUGGAACAUGCUUCCCCCCAUUGUCCAAUAUUCCCCACUGCUGCCUCCC
RNAcentral lists this ribosomal RNA (517 nucleotides) under uncultured Acinetobacter sp. Its description in RNAcentral is "partial 16S ribosomal RNA". The record is from RNAcentral. Lineage: Bacteria; Pseudomonadati; Pseudomonadota; Gammaproteobacteria; Moraxellales; Moraxellaceae.